RNAcentral lists this ribosomal RNA (468 nucleotides) under uncultured bacterium. Its description in RNAcentral is "partial 16S ribosomal RNA". It matches the Rfam family "Bacterial small subunit ribosomal RNA", at positions 28 to 507 of the family's 1533-position model. The record is from RNAcentral.
GACGAACGCUGGCGGCGUGCUUAACACAUGCAAGUCGAACGGAAAGGCCCUGCUUUUGUGGGGUGCUCGAGUGGCGAACGGGUGAGUAACACGUGAGUAACCUGCCCUUGACUUUGGGAUAACUUCAAGAAACUGGGGCUAAUACCGGAUAGGAGCUCCUGCUGCAUGGUGGGGUUUGGAUAGUUUCGGCGGUUGGGGAUGGACUCGCGGCUUAUCAGCUUGUUGGUGGGGUAGUGGCUUACCAAGGCUUUGACGGGUAGCCGGCCUGAGAGGGUGACCGGCCACAUUGGGACUGAGAUAAGGCCCAGACUCCUACGGGAGGCAGCAGUGGGGAAUAUUGCACAAUGGGCGGAAGCCUGAUGCAGCAACGCCGCGUGCGGGAUGACGGCCUUCGGGUUGUAAACCGCUUUCGCCUGUGACGAAGCGUGAGUGACGGUAAUGGGUAAAGAAGCACCGGCUAACUACGUG